AGGCUUUGCAAUCGAGUGGAAAAAUCAAGUGGAAGAAGAGCUUUCUCUUCAGCACAGGAUUUAAAGAAGUAAAAAUAAGGAUGCCAUUGAAGCUAUUUCAGAUGAAUUCUAACGUACCUACUAAAGACCCAGGUGUGCUUUCCUCAGCCCCAUAUUUUCAAAUGUUUCCUUGAGUCAUGAACCCAGUGGACUUGGAGUUAACCUAUGUCCCACAGAGCAGGCCUUGGGAGAAUACUGAGCUGCCAUACUGAUGGAUUAUUGGGGCUGCUUCCAAAGCUAUUUGGACAGAACCUCUCAAGCAUCUGGCUGAGCUGAGGGAUGAGUGGCUACACACAUGUGUGCUUACUGAAAGUUUGGGAAGCUAUAAUGAAAGAGCCCCUUCACCACACUGUUACAGGAGCAGAAACCAAAUGCAUUAUCAAUAAUGGCCAGAAAAUCAGACUCUGGGAGCAGCACACAAGAAUCUGUUCAACAAACCCUACAGGGGAUUCUAAUGCUCCGCAAGAUUAGAAAACCUCUAAUAUAAUAUUAUGCAAAUUGUUUUCCCUGAGAUUACAUUUUGGAUGUCCAUUUCAAUAGCUGAUCUAAAACUCUUAAAUAGGAAAAAGGCAACACAAACUGCUGGAGAUUGAAUGUGACAAAGCAAGUACGGGAACUAAAAGGUUUUGGAGAUUUAAUCUAGCAUCCUGUUUCUCAUGCAGAAGAAUGCCUCAUGCAUUGCAUGAGAAAUUUCCCAAUGUUGCACAUUCAUGGAAAGAAAUAUUAAAUAUAUUUUUUUAUUUUUCCCAUCUUUUUUCUUUAGAUUG
This is a long non-coding RNA of Acinonyx jubatus (cheetah), 806 nucleotides long. RefSeq lists it as uncharacterized. Lineage: Eukaryota; Metazoa; Chordata; Mammalia; Carnivora; Felidae. The transcript is spliced from 3 exons. The record is from RefSeq and is a predicted model, not a curated record.